AAAUCAGUACACCCAGUAAAAAGUUAUUACGGAUUUUCGAGAGUUUUCCUCGAUAUCUCUGAGAUACCAUCAUCAAAUCCUAGUUUCCUUAUUAUGCUACCACCCUUAGGAUAUCUCCUUUCCAAC
Long non-coding RNA from Melitaea cinxia (Glanville fritillary), 126 nucleotides. RefSeq lists it as uncharacterized. Lineage: Eukaryota; Metazoa; Arthropoda; Insecta; Lepidoptera; Nymphalidae. The record is from RefSeq and is a predicted model, not a curated record. The transcript has 2 exons.